Non-coding RNA from Erythranthe guttata (spotted monkey flower), 382 nucleotides. The record is from RefSeq and is a predicted model, not a curated record. NCBI's taxonomy places the organism in Eukaryota, Viridiplantae, Streptophyta, Magnoliopsida, Lamiales, Phrymaceae.
GUUUUCAUCUCUUAUGUAGGUUAUAACUUAUAAAUGCCAAAUUUGCAGUUGAGGCUAAAGUUUAGUUGGUGGCUCUACUGAUAAGGCACCCAAUUUCAGGCACCCGUAGAGAGGCAGAGGCAGUUGAAGCUAAUGAUAUUACUUCAAUCAAGUUCCAGAUGUGAAUGUUGUCAGCGGUUUUAAGUUCAAUUUAAUCGGCGAGGCAGUGUUUGGUUUCUUUGGUUGCUACUGGAUAUAGAUUGAUCACUGAUUUAAUUCACUUGUCAACAAUUAAUUAGUUAGGUGCUAAUAUGUAGUAACCAGCUAUCAAUUCAAUUUUUUUUCCUCACAAUUAUUAUUUGGUUUUUGUCAUUAGUAGCAAUAAACAAUUGUUUUUCGUUCA